UACGUAGGGGGCAAGCGUUAUCCGGAUUUACUGGGUGUAAAGGGAGCGCAGACGGCAGUGCAAGUCUGGAGUGAAAGCCCGGGGCUCAACCCCGGGACUGCUUUGGAAACUGCAUAGCUGGAGUGCUGGAGAGGCAAGCGGAAUUCCUAGUGUAGCGGUGAAAUGCGUAGAUAUUAGGAGGAACACCAGUGGCGAAGGCGGCCUGCUGGGCUUUUACUGACGCUGAGGCUCGAAAGUGUGGGGAGCAAACAGG
RNAcentral lists this ribosomal RNA (253 nucleotides) under uncultured Eubacteriales bacterium. RNAcentral describes it as "uncultured Clostridiales bacterium partial 16S ribosomal RNA". It matches the Rfam family "Bacterial small subunit ribosomal RNA", at positions 524 to 776 of the family's 1533-position model. Lineage: Bacteria; Bacillati; Bacillota; Clostridia; Eubacteriales. The record is from RNAcentral.